GGUUUGUGCCAGAUGUUGGAACAUUCAAUUCUUUGGCAGAGGCUGUAUGUAAAACUGGGGAAAUCGACUUUUGCAUUGACCUUUUCAAUGAUGUUUGUAGAUUGGGGCUUUGUCCUGAUACUGAGACUUAUAAGAUUGUCAUAACUGCUGCAGCAAAGGCUGGUAGGAUUGAUGAGGCAUUUCAGAUUCUUCAUAGGUCCAUUGAAGCUGGACAUCGG
RNAcentral lists this unclassified non-coding RNA (218 nucleotides) under Hevea brasiliensis (rubber tree). The record is from RNAcentral. Lineage: Eukaryota; Viridiplantae; Streptophyta; Magnoliopsida; Malpighiales; Euphorbiaceae.